UACAGAGGUCUCAAGCGUUGUUCGGAAUCACUGGGCGUAAAGCGUGCGUAGGCUGUUUCGUAAGUCGUGUGUGAAAGGCGCGGGCUCAACCCGCGGACGGCACAUGAUACUGCGAGACUAGAGUGCGGGAGGGGUAAGCGGAAUUCCUAGUGUAGCGGUGAAAUGCGUAGAUAUUAGGAGGAACACCGGUGGCGAAGGCGGCUUACUGGACCGUAACUGACGUUGAGGCUCGAAAGCGUGGGGAGCAAACAGG
This 253-nucleotide ribosomal RNA is filed under the name uncultured bacterium. Its description in RNAcentral is "partial 16S ribosomal RNA". It matches the Rfam family "Bacterial small subunit ribosomal RNA", at positions 524 to 776 of the family's 1533-position model. The record is from RNAcentral.